Molecule: long non-coding RNA, 1191 nt
Filed under: Carassius auratus (goldfish)
Lineage: Eukaryota; Metazoa; Chordata; Actinopteri; Cypriniformes; Cyprinidae
Description: lncRNA (ENSCARG00000063534.1)
Source: RNAcentral
ACAAAAUAUUUUUCUGGUCGACUAGUAGUCGUUCCUUUUAAGCAUCAGUCGACUAACACAUGCUUAUUAAUAAACCAUUUAUAUCAUGCAAAUGAGCCUUUAAUUUCCUAAAUAGCCUAAUAAUCACUCAAGCACAAGCAUAAAGCUUGGCACAGCGCACUGCAGAAGUAAUGAUGAUGAAUGUAUCAGGGAAAUGCAGUAAGAUUAAAAUUCAUUAACAUUUUCAUAAUCUACUAGCAAAGUAGUGUUUUUGGCUUUAGAGAUGAAUUCGGCAACACUGUCUCAUCAUCCCCACAGUAGUGGAUGCACCUGCAUGCAAGUUUCAUACAGAUUACAUAAUCUAAGAAGUUUUGUUGCUAUAGCCAGUGCACACAAAUAAAAGUUGAGGCUUUAUAGAUUUGACAGAUGACCAAAAUGAUGGAGUAUUUUAAGAGCAAGUGACUGCACCGGAGCGUCCAUCUGUCAUGCUGUGAGUGCUACUGUUAGCUUCCACAGUCCACACAGACACUUAAAUAGCACACAUACUACUAGGAUAACAUUAGAUUGAGCGGCUAUGUAAAGUUGCUUACGUAAAGGAACUACUGGAUAUGUAAAGAACUUACAUAUUUCAGAUGAUAAGUCAUAUUUGAGGUCUAUAAAUCAUAUGGGAGCAUUUGGAUGUGUAUUAUACCACAAAAUCCAACCUUUAAUGAUAUAUCCAGACUGCAUUACCUACCACCCCAACAUAACUUUUUAUUUUAGCUUAACUAACUAUUCCAAAUGAACCAACAAAAUGGGCCUAGAGCGAUCAAUGGAGUACGUUUUAGUAUGCUUAUGAUUUUAAAUGUGACUGUCUAACUGUUGAAAAAGAUCCAACUUCAAAUAUAAAAUUAUAGACAAUUAAGUAGAGUACAUAUUUAAAAUUGCAGAAAUCUGAUUGGGCCAGUAAAAAAGAAAAAAGAAAAAAAAAAAGUAUGAACUGGUCAAAUCUAGUUCCACUGGACUAUUGACUUCAGAAUGUUCACAUUACAUUGGUUUGCUAAUUAUGCUUAACAAUGUAUCCAGUGUUUUCCACAUGGUUUUGGAAGAACAUGAUGGGUAGACCUCUCGAUGGGUAGACCAAUUUUGUAUAUUUUAAAAUUAAAUGCAUCCAAUCUGGUGCACUUUGAGUGUUCAAAAUUAAAAGCUCCAACCCAGGUUCAGUGACUUUAU